This 412-nucleotide ribosomal RNA is filed under the name Patescibacteria group bacterium. Its description in RNAcentral is "bacterial SSU rRNA". It matches the Rfam family "Bacterial small subunit ribosomal RNA", at positions 1 to 343 of the family's 1533-position model. RNAcentral also lists the same sequence under 1 other name. The record is from RNAcentral.
CUUUUUGAGAGUUUGAUCCUGGCUCAGGAUGAACGCUGGCGGCGUGUCUAAGGCAUGCAAGUCGAAUGCCGGGUGUCGGAUUUCGGACUUCAGAUGUCAGAUGUCAGAUUAUUAUAAAAUAAUCAGAUGUCCGAUAUCUGAAAUCUGAAAUCCGAUAUCCGGCAUGGCAAACGGGAGAGUAACACAUUGGUAAUCUGCCUUGAGGCCGUGAAUAAGCUUGCGAAAGCGAGUCUAAUACACGAUGGCAGCGGGGGGUCAAAAGACAUUCCCGCUUAAAGUUUUAAUGCCUCAAGAGGAGCCUAUGUCCUAUCAGCUUGUUGGUGAGGUAAAAGCUCACCAAGGCAAUGACGGGUAGCGGGUGUGAGAGCAUGACCCGUCUCACUGGGACUGAGAUACUGCCCAGACUCCUACG